RNAcentral lists this ribosomal RNA (682 nucleotides) under uncultured Bacteroidales bacterium. Its description in RNAcentral is "bacterial SSU rRNA". It matches the Rfam family "Bacterial small subunit ribosomal RNA", at positions 64 to 743 of the family's 1533-position model. Lineage: Bacteria; Pseudomonadati; Bacteroidota; Bacteroidia; Bacteroidales. The record is from RNAcentral.
AUGGUCUUAGCUUGCUAAGGCUGAUGGCGACCGGCGCACGGGUGAGUAACACGUAUCCAACCUGCCGUCUACUCUUGGCCAGCCUUCUGAAAGGAAGAUUAAUCCAGGAUGGCAUCAUGAGUUCACAUGUCCGCAUGAUUAAAGGUAUUUUCCGGUAGACGAUGGGGAUGCGUUCCAUUAGAUAGUAGGCGGGGUAACGGCCCACCUAGUCAACGAUGGAUAGGGGUUCUGAGAGGAAGGUCCCCCACAUUGGAACUGAGACACGGUCCAAACUCCUACGGGAGGCAGCAGUGAGGAAUAUUGGUCAAUGGGCGAUGGCCUGAACCAGCCAAGUAGCGUGAAGGAUGACUGCCCUAUGGGUUGUAAACUUCUUUUAUAAAGGAAUAAAGUCGGGUAUGCAUACCCGUUUGCAUGUACUUUAUGAAUAAGGAUCGGCUAACUCCGUGCCAGCAGCCGCGGUAAUACGGAGGAUCCGAGCGUUAUCCGGAUUUAUUGGGUUUAAAGGGAGCGUAGAUGGAUGUUUAAGUCAGUUGUGAAAGUUUGCGGCUCAACCGUAAAAUUGCAGUUGAUACUGGAUGUCUUGAGUGCAGUUGAGGCAGGCGGAAUUCGUGGUGUAGCGGUGAAAUGCUUAGAUAUCACGAAGAACUCCGAUUGCGAAGGCAGCCUGCUAAGCUGCAACUGA